GAUUAACGCUGGCGGCGUGCCUAAUGCAUGCAAGUCGGACGCGUCCGGACUUCGGUUUGGGUGGCGUGGCGGACGGGUGAGGAGCGCGUGGGCAACCUGCCCAAAGGUGGGGGGUAGCCCUCGGAAACGGGGGGUAAUUCCGCAUGGGGUCGACCUUCUUGUGGGGAGGUUGAGCAAAGGCCGGUGCAAGCCGGUCGCCUUUGGAGGGGCCUGCGUCCGAUUAGC
RNAcentral lists this ribosomal RNA (225 nucleotides) under uncultured bacterium. Its description in RNAcentral is "partial 16S ribosomal RNA". It matches the Rfam family "Bacterial small subunit ribosomal RNA", at positions 28 to 245 of the family's 1533-position model. The record is from RNAcentral.